Molecule: ribosomal RNA, 466 nt
Filed under: Vreelandella stevensii
Lineage: Bacteria; Pseudomonadati; Pseudomonadota; Gammaproteobacteria; Oceanospirillales; Halomonadaceae
Description: partial 16S ribosomal RNA
Rfam family: Bacterial small subunit ribosomal RNA
Source: RNAcentral
CCUACGGGAGGCAGCAGUGGGGAAUAUUGGACAAUGGGGGCAACCCUGAUCCAGCCAUGCCGCGUGUGUGAAGAAGGCCCUCGGGUUGUAAAGCACUUUCAGUGAGGAAGAACGCCUGGUGGUUAAUACCCAUCAGGAAAGACAUCACUCACAGAAGAAGCACCGGCUCAACUCCGUGCCAGCAGCCGCGGUAAUACGGAGGGUGCGAGCGUUAAUCGGAAUUACUGGGCGUAAAGCGCGCGUAGGUGGCUUGAUAAGCCGGUUGUGAAAGCCCCGGGCUCAACCUGGGAACGGCAUCCGGAACUGUCAAGCUAGAGUGCAGGAGAGGAAGGUAGAAUUCCCGGUGUAGCGGUGAAAUGCGUAGAGAUCGGGAGGAAUACCAGUGGCGAAGGCGGCCUUCUGGACUGACACUGACACUGAGGUGCGAAAGCGUGGGUAGCAAACAGGAUUAGAUACCCCGGUAGUC